GAAGAUCGUUAUACAAAGGAUUGAAGAUUUAUCGGAUUGAUAUUUUAUAACAAAGGUCUUAUUGGCGGACUGGUGAGUAACGCGUAAUGAACCUGCCUUUUAUAGGGGAAUAACAAUGAGAAAUCAUUGCUAAUACCGCAUAUGCCAUAAUUAUCACAUGAUAACAGUGGGAAAGGAGCAAUUCGCUAAAAGAUGGCCUUGCGUCUGAUUAGAUAGUUGGUAAGGUAACGGCUUACCAAGUCGACGAUCACUAGCCGGACUGAGAGGUUGAACGGCCACAUUGGGACUGAUAUACGGCCCAUACUCCUACGGGAGGCAGCAAUCGGGAAUAUUGCGCAAUGGAGGAAACUCU
RNAcentral lists this ribosomal RNA (352 nucleotides) under uncultured bacterium. RNAcentral's name for it is "bacterial SSU rRNA". It matches the Rfam family "Bacterial small subunit ribosomal RNA", at positions 47 to 384 of the family's 1533-position model. The record is from RNAcentral.